This 4401-nucleotide long non-coding RNA is filed under the name Sus scrofa (pig). Its description in RNAcentral is "lncRNA (ENSSSCG00000053863.1)". Lineage: Eukaryota; Metazoa; Chordata; Mammalia; Artiodactyla; Suidae. The record is from RNAcentral.
AGUUUCCAUACAGUCGGUCGUGUACAAUCCUCAUUACAAAGAAAGCAUUGUCCGCCCCAUUUCCUGCCAUCAGGAGGAGAAUAGCGUUCUGUCAAACUUAUUCAGUGGCGUCCUAUUUAUUAGAAAUGCCAAAUUUUCAUCCUCUGUCCAGCCCUGUGACUUGUGCCGAAUGAAUGUGAAUUGCUUUUGUAAGGUCAAGGCCUCGGUGACAAUGCAGUGAAAGUUUCAAGGAAGCUGGUGAUGAUGGAUUUGUCUUUAGUUCAUUGGAGUGCUUGUAAUAAAACUAAUGAAUGGAAAGGACUGAACAGUUUCAAUUAGCCGCAUAUAGUAAAAUCCUAAAAAUAAUUAGUGGCUGAGAUGGUGUGUAGUUAUUUUAAAAUACUGUUUCUAGUUUGUAAAGAUCUUGGUUUAGUUUGCUUUGGAAUUGAGCCAUUUGAGAGAGAGAGAAAAACCUACAAUGUGCUCUGUGUGUAUGUGUGUGUGUGUGUGUGUGUGUGUGUGUAUGUGUGUGUGUGUGUGUUUCAGACAAGCUUUUUAUUCCUGUGCAAUUGUGUAAUAAUAGAUAGUAACGAACGGUUUUUAGUGCUUUAUAAUUUCACAAAAUUUUCUCUAAUUCUUAUUAAUUCGUUCCUCCCAACAAUACUUUGAGUUCAGUCUUAUUAUUCUAUUUAUUUUAAGGAGGAAGUCGGGAUUAUCCGUUUAGGUUUACAGAGCUGAAAAGAAUCAGGGAGAAUCAGCCAGCUCUUGUGACUCAAAAUUCAGUGAUAUUUGCCUUGUGGCACAUGCACGUUUCUGGUUUGUUUUUGUUUUUUGUCUUGUUUGGUUUUGGUUUUGCUGUGGAUAGGCUUCCUUUUUGAAGCAAACCUGCAGCACAUAAGUGCUUUUAGUUUAAUUGCGUGGAUCUCUCCCUCAGACCUCUGUUCAACAAAUAAUGGUGCUGCUAACAUUUCCUGAUGUCUGAUGUAUUGAGUGCUUCGUAGAGGCAUCAUGCUUGGCUCUAGGAAGUCAAAAUGUGGUUGGGUAGGGUCCAUAUCCGAAAGGAAUGAGAAGUCUAAUUUAUUCGUGGGCCAUUUUGUCAGUCUCCUUUUGCCCUCUAGGUACCAGCCAUGGUCGGAUACCUUAGAGCAGCAGGUGACUGUAUCCUUGCACUCUUAGACCCAGGAAAGUUGCAGAGCUACUGGCCCAAACGGGAGUUUCCUGAGUCUGGAUCCCAUGUGUUCUUGAUCGAGACUUCAUUGCUCUCACAACUUUAGAAAUUGUGAUAUUUUUCACCUCCGACGUCUCACUGGGUCUCCAGUGGAGUAUUGAUUAUUACCCUCAUUUUAGAGAUGAGGCGCCUAAGGCUGUGCGAGAUCAGAGGACGGGGUCUCAUGUUCCUUUUCUAUCAUGUGACCCAGGUGACAGUUUCUGGGAAUUUCUAUCCAUCGGGUCCAAAUGCAGAGGUCAAGGAGCAUGUGCCCGUGCUUCGCAAGUGUCUUAGUCGAUCUGGGCUGCUGUAACAGACGACCAUAGACGGGGGGGGCUUCAGAAAGACAUCUUGAUUCCUCGCAUUGCCUUCCUGAAAAAAAUUUAAUGGAGUAGAUUACAAGUGUUUAUUUAUGGGGGCGGGGGAGUCUGGGAUCAGCGCACCGUUGGAUUUGGCAUCUGGUGAAGGCACCCUUCUGGAUUCACAGAUGGCCGUCCUGUCUCUGCGUCCUCUUAUGGAGGAAGGGGUGAGAGCUGUCUCCGGGUUCUCUUUCAUCCUGUUCAUGAGCGCUGCUUCCACGCGACCACCUCACCUCCCAAAGGCUCCUCCUCUGAAUCCCAUUAUAUUGGGGGGGGGGGGUGCGGUUAAGAUAUCAACUUAGGAAUUUAGAGGGGACACAGAUAUUCAUUACAUAACAGCAGAGAGUUAGCCUGAAAUACCCAGUGGCUACCAAAACAUUCCUUUUUGUUUUAAAGUCCUUGCUUUGUCUUUACUGUGCAUGUGAAAUUUGCAUUUUGCUCCAUCAGAGAUGCUUUAAUAUUAAAAACCGGUUCCCCAGACCAAAAUCAGAAUAAAAUCUAUGCUCCGGGGAUCUUUUUCUGGGGCUAAUUCUGGGACACACUGUCUUGCACCGGGGUGGGGAGGGGGUACCCAGUCCUUCCAGCUUUAACUCUUCCAAGUUAGACUUAGUGAUCUUAUGUUUAGCCUAAAGUUUUACCGUUUGCUCCUCUUUCAUAAGCUUGCUCUCUCUCUUUUUUUUGUCUACCUAAUUUGUUACCUACUAUUUUAUUACAAAAAAAUUUGAGGGGGUUCUCAUGAGGAGGCACAAUACAAUCUAAAAACCUCUGAAAGUCAGGGGGAAGGAAAAACCACGCUGUUGUAACAAGGUUUUACGUGUAUGUAUGUCACUGUUCUAUAUAGCAGGAAAUGACACAAUACUGUAAAUCAAUUUUCAUAGUAUUUUUUAAUUUUUUUUUUUAGGACCACACCUGCAGCAUAUGGAGGUUCCCAGGCUAGGGGUCCAAUCGGAGCUGUAGCCGCUAGCCUAAAGCAAUGGGGGAUCCGAGCCAUGUCUGUAACCUACACCACAGCUCACGGCAAUGCCGGAUCCUGAAUCCACUGAGCGAGGCCAGGAAUAGAACCUGCGUGCCAUGGAUGCUAGUCAGAUUUGUUUCCGCAGAGCCCCCACGGGAACUCCUAAUAAUUUUUUUUUUAAAGAUGAAAUGGCAGCAUGCUGGGAGAAGAAACCCAUGGUGUGCCCCUGCAGAUGUGCUAGAAACAGACCAGUGAUUUGGCUCUCAGCAUCCUCCCCACCUAGACUUCCUCGGCCUGAGGCUCUGCUUUGUCUGUUCAGCCCACACUGAGGUGGGGCCGGGGUUAUCCUAGCCCUGAAGCUUGAGGGAAAUUUCUCCUUUGGGGUCCCCUAAGGUGGACACACGUCCACCCUGAUGGUUGGCAGCAUCCUGAUGGACACUCCAUUGGCGGAGCGCCCACAGUGCAUCGUUGGGCCGCCUGGUUACAGCAUCCCCAGAAAAGCUGGGGGAGACGAGCCCCAGACACAGUGAGACGGCGGCACGCCUCAGCCCAGGCUCUCUGCCUGCAAGUCCGCUGUGAUUUCUGACAACGAUGGAUUACACCCUUGUUGCUUUUCCCUCCAAAUUGCAUUCUGGAUGGAGUUAAGGGAAAACACGUAAUAAUAUUUUCAAUGUAGUGUUUUUCUCAUUAGGAGAGAAAAUGAAUAAGUUGGAAUUUUAAUGGGGAGCCUUUUUAAUAGCAAUCCUUGUGAUUUAUUAUUCUCCUGGGGAUUUUAUUCACCAUCUUUAAGUCUUAAUAAAAAUAUAUAUAAAACAUCGAGGAGUUGGCUUCUCCCCUUGGAACAAGUUUUCACACAAGAGAAGAGGGGUCACUUGACACAGGAGACUCUGAGAGGGGCUCUUGCGUCUUUGAGCCUUUUUUCAUUAGACAGACGUGGAAGAGAACCAGCCAGAACAAGGACUGUGUCCAUUGGCAUUGUUCUGAUCAAGCCCUUCUUUGAAAUUUUUGAUUUAGGGAGGUCUCAGAUGAUGCAAUCUUUAAAAUCAGGCGUUUCCAGAGUUUAUAAACGUCCGGUUUAUUCUGGUUUGUGUGCCCGGUAGGGAGUCCCACGUGAUUCGCAGUCUGUGAGAUGUCACGGGGCACAGGAGUCUUCUCCUGGUGGGAGCGGGGGGCACUGUUCCUUGGCGAUGUGGACUGGCCAACGGCAGUGAUGAAAAAUGAUGCUGGACUGCUCACACCACACUCGCUCAUUUUGAAACAGGCUCACAAAUUGCUGCGAAGCCCUCACUGUGUCUUUACGGCCCUUGCCUGGUUCCAGACGUUUGAUCACCAAUGCAGCAUUUCCCUAAUGCUGUGCAGGUUGAUAAAACAGUUGCCGAGCCGGAAUCCCUAAAGAAAUUAUUAAUUAUCUGGUUAAUGUGCAUCGGGCUGUGGGAGUGUGAGAUUAAUCACCGGCAGUGGGAUGAGUUGCUGAAGUGGAUUUUGGUUUUUCGUCUCCUGUCACUCGGUAAUGGCUUUUCCUUCCUUCACCAUCAGGCGAACAGGUGCAGAGAUGCUGUAUUUUCAUUUUCCCAGAGUCAGUAACAGCCGGUGGCCAGGCGAUGCAUUUUCCUCGGUCCUGCUGUAUGAGCACUUUACAACAUGGAGUAUUACCUUCUUAGAACAUUCUAGCUCUCCCAACGUGACGGGUCCUACCUCAACUUUUUCAAUGUCCCCAAGAGUGUACUUGAACCCGCACCCCUCCCCCGGCAUACAUACUCUCACAUACACAGCCAUGCACGUGCACAUGGAGACAUUUAUGAAUGCACACAAAAACAUUGGGAGAUGUUUCUGGAUGCAGUGAAUGAACAAUGCUCAACAGUUUAUCUCCUUUCUUUCUUGAGGAAAUCAUUCCUUAUCGC